AAAACUUUCAACAACGGAUCUCUUGGUUCUGGCAUCGAUGAAGAACGCAGCGAAAUGCGAUAAGUAAUGUGAAUUGCAAAAUUCAGUGAAUCAUCGAAUCUUUGAACGCACAUUGCGCCCGCCAGUAUUCUGGCGGGCAUGCCUGUUCGAGCGUCAUU
This 158-nucleotide ribosomal RNA is filed under the name Albifimbria verrucaria. RNAcentral's name for it is "5.8S ribosomal RNA". It matches the Rfam family "5.8S ribosomal RNA". Rfam says of the family: 5.8S ribosomal RNA (5.8S rRNA) is a component of the large subunit of the eukaryotic ribosome. It is transcribed by RNA polymerase I as part of the 45S precursor that also contains 18S and 28S rRNA. The record is from RNAcentral. Lineage: Eukaryota; Fungi; Ascomycota; Sordariomycetes; Hypocreales; Stachybotryaceae.